This 166-nucleotide ribosomal RNA is filed under the name uncultured bacterium. RNAcentral describes it as "partial 16S ribosomal RNA". It matches the Rfam family "Bacterial small subunit ribosomal RNA", at positions 355 to 511 of the family's 1533-position model. The record is from RNAcentral.
UAGGGAAUCUUCGGCAAUGGACGAAAGUCUGACCGAGCAACGCCGCGUGAGUGAAGAAGGUUUUCGGAUCGUAAAACUCUGUUGGUAGAGAAGAACGUUGGUGAGAGUGGAAAGCUCAUCAAAGUGACGGUAACUACCCAGAAAGGGACGGCUAACUACGUGUCAG